ACUUUACCAUUAGGACCUGUGUUUUCUGGAAUGUAAGUGCAACAAGUCAUAGUGUCAGGAAGUAUUUUACAGACUCCCCCUUUUUCGGCUAAGAUAAUGUCUAAGGCCAGUCUGUUCUGGAAGGUCAUUUGGGAUGUGGCCUGUAAUUGCUCGGCCAAGCCCUGGAGGGCAUCCCUGGUGUAGUUCAUGAAGCGCUGUUGGUUGUAAUAGAUAUAAUUAAUCCAAUUAAGGUUUUUGUUGGCAGUGACUA
Non-coding RNA from Pelobates cultripes (western spadefoot toad), 250 nucleotides. NCBI's taxonomy places the organism in Eukaryota, Metazoa, Chordata, Amphibia, Anura, Pelobatidae. The record is from the annotation of a GenBank genome assembly.